UGGCAUAGGCGUCGUCGUUUUCAUGUGAUGGCCGAUUGUUGUGUUGAGUGGUUGUCAAAAGUUUUCCUAUUUUUCCAUGAAAAUUACCGAUGAAUUCAUAAGUAAAUUCAAGUUUGUUUCUGUGCAAUUUGUUUGUGAUGUGAUUUAUUCCGUUUGUUUUGCUGGAUCAAAUUCAAAAUUCCUCAAUCUAACCUGUAGGAAGGAACGGGAAAGGAAACAGUGCAUACAAGUAGCCUACCAUCACUAUACCACCAACUCUUUUAUUAAAAAUCGUCGUUCUGCUGAAUGCAUCAUGCAGUUAAUACAGUUUCUAUUGAUCUUUGUAGGUCACUAUCCCAGUGUGGACAUGUUUGUUUUUCUGAACAUGUUUUUCAACAAAUAAUUCAUUGACGUGCAAGGAAAGCUUAAAGCUUACCCAUGGGUAAUCUUCAGGUUAGCAGCAGCAGCUUAAGAGAAGAAUGUGAACAAAUGCAGGGCACAUACCAACAUGUGCUGUAUUAUUCUGAAUGUUAAGCACGAGCAGUAGAUUCAACAUGACUAACUGUUUGAUGCCAAAGUUAGUUUGGAACUCAACUCACUGUAUGUACUCUAACACAGAUAACUGGUGCUGUUGCCUUACAGCAGCCACAGGCAGGAAAAUCAUUCUUUUUUUUCAGAAAAUUGGAAAGCUGCUGGAGUAAUCUGGUGUUCAUGCUCAUUAAUUUCAUUUCGUGCCAGCUAGUGAAAGCCGAAAGGCAUGUCGAAUUCAAGUUGAGCUACUGCGUGCUGUCUCGAAGCAAGCAAUCCAGCCGUUACGUUCAGUCAUUUUGGAACAGGAAUCUAGUGGCUGUCAAUAGGUGGCUGUCAAAAGUUGGCUGGAAUGUCCACCAGGUAGCGCGAGUGUCUUCAGGGACGGAUUUCGGCCAUUUUGUUCCAAGACGCAGCAGAAAUGGUUGCUGGUCAUGACGUUUCUCACGAUUAAAAUUAAAAG
This 970-nucleotide long non-coding RNA is filed under the name Daphnia pulicaria. RNAcentral describes it as "uncharacterized LOC124341501, transcript variant X2". The record is from RNAcentral. Lineage: Eukaryota; Metazoa; Arthropoda; Branchiopoda; Diplostraca; Daphniidae.